GUUUUAAUAGUUUAAACAAAACAUUGGUCUUGUAAAUCAAAAAUAAAAAAUUAUUUUUUUUAAAACU
This 67-nucleotide transfer RNA is filed under the name Boreoheptagyia alulasetosa. RNAcentral's name for it is "tRNA-Thr". It matches the Rfam family "tRNA". Rfam says of the family: Transfer RNA (tRNA) molecules are approximately 80 nucleotides in length. Their secondary structure includes four short double-helical elements and three loops (D, anti-codon, and T loops). The record is from RNAcentral. Lineage: Eukaryota; Metazoa; Arthropoda; Insecta; Diptera; Chironomidae.